RNAcentral lists this ribosomal RNA (289 nucleotides) under uncultured bacterium. RNAcentral's name for it is "partial 16S ribosomal RNA". It matches the Rfam family "Bacterial small subunit ribosomal RNA", at positions 30 to 319 of the family's 1533-position model. The record is from RNAcentral.
AUUGAACGCUGGCGGCAUGCCUAACACAUGCAAGUCGAACGGUAACAGGCCCUUCGGGUGCUGACGAGUGGCGGAUGGGUGAGUAAUACUUAGGAAUCUACCCUGUAGUGGGGGACAACCCGGGGAAACUCGGGCUAAUACCGCAUACGCUCUACGGAGGAAAGCGGGGGACCGGCAAGGCCUCGCGCUAUUGGAUGAGCCUAAGCCCGAUUAGCUAGUUGGUGGGGUAAUAGCCUACCAAGGCAAUGAUCGGUAGCUGGUCUGAGAGGACGACCAGCCACACUGGGAC